Long non-coding RNA from Raphanus sativus (radish), 384 nucleotides. RefSeq lists it as uncharacterized. NCBI's taxonomy places the organism in Eukaryota, Viridiplantae, Streptophyta, Magnoliopsida, Brassicales, Brassicaceae. The transcript is spliced from 3 exons. The record is from RefSeq and is a predicted model, not a curated record.
CCGAAAAAGACAUUCUUAAUCGAUGAAAAAAAAAGUUUCUCUGUCUCUCUAAAGCACGAACCUCGAGUAGUUCUAGAUCAAUGGGCAACUCACCUUCUAAGAUCUAUAGCAGUUUUAGGUUUUGGAACUGAAUUUGCCGUCUGUCUUCAUCUCCGACAAGUUCAAGAGCGUCACAGAGGGUUUCGGAAGACAACAAUUUGUGUUUGAGAAAAAUUGAAGCAGUCGACAUCCUAGUGUAUUCGAUUCGAUUGAGAAAAGCUUAGGAAACAAACAUUCAAAUUCCUUUGAACGAUCAAAGUCCAAAAUUGAAAAGGUUUGUAUUAAAAUCUUGCUUCUAAAUAAAGGUUUGAAAAGGUUUGUCUGAAAGGAUAUUUUAGUAAAGUU